UGGGGAAUAUUGGGCAAUGGGCGAAAGCCUGACCCAGCGACGCCGCGUGGGUGAUGAAGGCCUUCGGGUCGUAAAGCCCUGUCAGAAGGAAAGAACGAUCUUGUGGUGAAUACCCAUGAGAUGUGACGGUACCUUCGAAGGAAGCACCGGCCAAUUCCGUGCCAGCAGCCGCGGUAAGACGGAAGGUGCAAGCGUUGCUCGGAAUCACUGGGCGUAAAGGGUGCGUAGGCUGCCAACUAAGUCAGACGUGAAAUCCCUCGGCUUAACCGGGGAACUGCGUCUGAUACUGGAUGGCUUGAGAUUGGGAGAGGGAUGCGGAAUUCCAGGUGUAGCGGUGAAAUGCGUAGAUAUCUGGAGGAACACCGGUGGCGAAGGCGGCAUCCUGGACCAACACUGACGCUGAGGAGCGAAAGCCAGGGGAGCAAACGGGAUUAGAUACCCAAGUAGUCCCUGAGCGGGCUGGCAAGGCGCAU
Molecule: ribosomal RNA, 473 nt
Filed under: uncultured bacterium
Lineage: Bacteria
Description: bacterial SSU rRNA
Rfam family: Bacterial small subunit ribosomal RNA
Source: RNAcentral